CAUGCAAGUCGAACGGAAAGGCCCUUUCGGGGGUACUCGAGUGGCGAACGGGUGAGUAACACGUGGGUGAUCUGCCCUGCACUUUGGGAUAAGCCUGGGAAACUGGGUCUAAUACCGAAUAGGACCACGCGCUUCAUGGUGUGUGGUGGAAAGCUUUUGCGGUGUGGGAUGGGCCCGCGGCCUAUCAGCUUGUUGGUGGGGUAAUGGCCUACCAAGGCGACGACGGGUAGCCGGCCUGAGAGGGUGUCCGGCCACACUGGGACUGAGAUACGGCCCAGACUCCUACGGGAGGCAGCAGUGGGGAAUAUUGCACAAUGGGCGCAAGCCUGAUGCAGCGACGCCGCGUGGGGGAUGACGGCCUUCGGGUUGUAAACCUCUUUCAGUAUCGGCGAAGCUCCAGGAUUCUUCUUGGGGUGACGGUAGGUACAGAAGAAGCACCGGCCAAC
This 446-nucleotide ribosomal RNA is filed under the name Mycobacterium sp. HSC324. Its description in RNAcentral is "bacterial SSU rRNA". It matches the Rfam family "Bacterial small subunit ribosomal RNA", at positions 54 to 501 of the family's 1533-position model. Lineage: Bacteria; Bacillati; Actinomycetota; Actinomycetes; Mycobacteriales; Mycobacteriaceae. The record is from RNAcentral.